UUGUGAUGAGACCUAAACUGAAAUAGCUGGAAUUACCGGCAGAUUGUUCAGUGGUGACCCUCGGUUUUCUGAAC
Molecule: small nucleolar RNA, 74 nt
Filed under: Sphaeramia orbicularis (orbiculate cardinalfish)
Lineage: Eukaryota; Metazoa; Chordata; Actinopteri; Kurtiformes; Apogonidae
Source: RNAcentral